UAUCUCUGUAGAGUCUGCAUAUCAAUAAGCGGAGGAAAAGAAACUAACAAGGAUUCCCCUAGUAACGGCGAGUGAAGCGGGAAGAGCUCAAAUUUGAAAUCUUCAAGGUUUGACCUUGACGAAUUGUAGUUUAAAGAAGUGUUUUCGGUUAGAGGAGUAGUAAAAGUUCUUUGGAAUAGGACAUCAUAGAGGGUGAGAAUCCCGUAUUUGACUAUUCUUUCUAGCUUUGUGAUACACUUUCAAAGAGUCGGAUUGUUUGGGAAUGCAGUCCAAGAUGGGUGGUAAAUUUCAUCUAAAGCUAAAUAUUGGCGAGAGACCGAUAGCGAACAAGUACCGUGAGGGAAAGAUGAAAAGGAACUUUGAAAAGAGAGUUAAACAGUACGUGAAAUUGUCAAAAGGGAAGCGUUUGACACCAGUGUUGUUUUUCCGAAAAUCAAUUAAAAAUUGAUUCAUGCCAGGUUGUAUUGACCUUAUCAGCUUGCAAUUUGGUUUUGGGUCUCUUUUUGAUGCACUUUUCGGUUAACAAGUCAACAUCAAUUUCCUUUGCUGUAAAAAGGUAAGAGGAAGGUGGCUUCAAUUUCGGUUGAAGUGUUUAUAGCCUUUUAUCUCUGCAGUCGGGGAGAUUGAGGUCUGCAGCGUAGAUCCUUCGGGGCUAGAUACAUUUAUGCUAAGUUAUAGCUUUUCAUAGACAACUUGUUGACUAUGUUUAGUCAUGUAGCUUACUCGUAAGUGCUAUUUUACCUACGCUUAGGAUGUUGAAGACUCUACAGAGAUA
Molecule: ribosomal RNA, 775 nt
Filed under: uncultured Neocallimastigales
Lineage: Eukaryota; Fungi; Neocallimastigomycota; Neocallimastigomycetes; Neocallimastigales
Description: partial large subunit ribosomal RNA
Rfam family: Eukaryotic large subunit ribosomal RNA
Source: RNAcentral